Long non-coding RNA from Arachis stenosperma, 347 nucleotides. RefSeq lists it as uncharacterized. The record is from RefSeq and is a predicted model, not a curated record. NCBI's taxonomy places the organism in Eukaryota, Viridiplantae, Streptophyta, Magnoliopsida, Fabales, Fabaceae. The transcript has 3 exons.
CCCCCGUCAUCAUCAUAUGUAUCUGUCCUGCCUGGACAAGCACAAACUCAUCCAUCAGCUACGGGAGCAAGGAAUUACAUUGUACAACAAAUGCCGCCACCUAACUUGCCAAUGCCAAGGCCAGAAGCUAGUAGUUUCGGAACUGGAGGAGCUGUUUUCGGCUUGUCAAAUCCAGAUCAGCAGCUAAAUAAUUCAUUCUCCACCACUCCUGCCUCUACUCCCUUCCCUGCAGGGGGGAACCCAUUCGGCUGAUGUGAAAAUGUGUCUUCCUGAACUUGUAAAAUCAAGCAUCAACUUGUUGCUCCCUGUACAAAUUUGGAUGAGUUUUGGUUUCUAUUGUUAGUCAA